Dermacentor silvarum is the source of this 377-nucleotide long non-coding RNA. RefSeq lists it as uncharacterized. The record is from RefSeq and is a predicted model, not a curated record. Lineage: Eukaryota; Metazoa; Arthropoda; Arachnida; Ixodida; Ixodidae. The transcript is spliced from 3 exons.
AGCCUGGAUUGUCGACGGUGCCUCCAGUUCUUCCUCGGCUACCUGCCGACAGUAUUGAAGAAUUAGAGGCAGCCGUGCGGGAUGAGGCUGUGGCUGCCCCCUUGCGCAAGCACCUCCUGCAAAUAGGAGGGAAGUCACUGCGCGAGGUGGCAUCGUAUGCCAUGAAGGCUGUAAUGGCACACUCCGUCCAAGUGCUUUACAGCCUUCAUAGCAGGAAGGGGAAGAGGGCAUUCAUCAAUUUGAAGUUAUGCCGGAUAGUCACAGAUGUCAUCUGUGCGAAAGGGAGGGGGGGGCGACCUGACACAAGCACAGGACUUCAUUAAGUGGUUGCCAGGGUCUGUGGACAGCGGUGGUGGCAGGCAAAGGCGUUUCGAAGA